CCUGACAAGCAGUGCAGGGAAGCACGGCGCCUGCCAGCAGGACAGGACAGGACAGGAAGGGGCAGGGGCUACCGGGCUGCCUCUGAGCAUGGUCAUGGGUUCCAGCCGAAUUACUCUAAAGAUCAAGCAUUCUGCCUUCUAUUUCCUAUGAUGGCCAGAGUUUCCUGUGCUAAGAGGAAACAGAGCAUUUCACUCAAAGGCGACUCUGCACUGGGUGAGGUGCAGCCUGUCACCUGACCAGCUCUGGAGCUGCCAGUGGCAUCAGGCUGCAUUCUUUGAAUUCUUCACCCAGCACUACCGCCACCGCAAUGAACAACUUCAGGUUCACUGAGCUGAGGGGAUUCCAUCUGCUGUGCCCUCGGAGUCCGCUGCCCGAGUCUCGCGCCCAGGCUCAAAACCUAUAGCUGAGUAACAGCAAGCUGCCUGCCUUUGAGGAGUAGCACGCAGAGAGUGUCAAAGAAGACCUCAAAUUCUGGAGAAAAAUGACCUUUCAAGGACUACAAAGUAUAUACUUCCUGCUGCAUGUUUCUGUCUUACUAACCUGUGAUAACUGAAACACAUGGUCCUGGGGCUGCCGAAGGUCAAUUGCUUAUCAGAUUUCCCAUCAUGCAUCAGCUGUUCAGACUGGUUUUAGGACAAAAAGAUCUUUCCCGCGCCGGGGACCUCUUCUCUUUAGAUGACUCUGAGAUUGAAGACAGCCUGACAGAAGCUCUGGAACAAAUUAAAAUAAUUAGCUCAUCUUCCGAUUACCAAACCAAUAACAAUGACCAGGCAGUGGUUGAAAUCUGUAUCACGCGAAUCACAACAGCCAUCAGAGAGACAGAGUCCAUUGAAAAGCAUGCCAAGGCCCUCGUGGGGCUCUGGGACUCCUGCUUGGAACACAACCUGAGACCCUCUGGGAAAGACGAAGACACUCCGCAUGCAAAAAUUGCUUCUGAUAUCAUGAGUUGCAUUUUACAGAAUUACAACCGGCCCCCUGUGAUGGCGUUAGCCAUCCCCAUAGCAGUGAAAUUCCUCCACAGAGGCAACAAGGAACUGUGCAGGAAUAUGUCCAACUACCUGUCCCUGGCUGCAAUCACCAAGGCAGAUCUUCUGGCUGAUCACACAGACGUUAUAGUAAAGAGCAUACUCCAAGGUAAUGCCAUGUUGUUGAGGGUGUUACCUGCUGUGUAUGAAAAGCAGCCUCAGCCAAUUAACAGACACCUGACAGAACUCCUGGCCUUGAUGUCUCAGCUGGAACAACCAGAACAGUACCAUCUUCUACGGCUUUUACAUGUAGCUGCAAAGAGAAAGCAACCAGAGGUGGUUCAGAAGUGUAUUCCUUUCCUAAUCAGGCAUUUGAAAGACUCAACCCAUAAUGAUGUCAUCCUAAACAUCCUCAUAGAGAUAGCAGGCUAUGAACCUGUGGCUUUGAACAGUUUUCUUCCAAUGCUGAAAGAGAUUGGUGAGAGAUUCCCCUACCUCAUCGGACAAAUGGCGAGAAUCUAUGGAGCUGUGGGGCAUGUGGAUGAAGAGAGAGCCAGGAGCUGCCUGCCAUUCCUGGUGAGUCAGCUGGCCAACAUGGAACAUUCGUUUCAUCAUAUUCUCCUGCUGGAGAUUAAGAGCAUCACUGAUGCUUUCUCCUCCAUCCUGGGCCCUCAGAGCAGAGAUAUCUUCCGCAUGAGCAACAGCUUCACUGCCAUUGCCAAGCUUCUUACCCAACAACUGGAAACUACCAAGGCCAGAAGCAGCAGGAGAAAACCCAGCAAUGAAAUUGAAUUCCCUGAGAAGCUGGAAGAAAUCAAGUUCACUGUAGCUGAAGAUGAAGACCAUGAAAAGCUCCAAGUUAAAAUACAGGCUUUUGAAGACAAAAUAAAUGCUGAGAGCAAUACUCCUAGCUCUAUAAGAAGAUAUAGUUUGGGCCAAUUUUCUAAGGAAGAAAGAAAAGACAUUAGAUUUAACAGGUCAAAGAGUUUGGCUUUGCACACUGUGCUAACAAAGAGCAUGAGUUCAGAUGAUGGGGAAAUUGUAGAGAGUGGAGAUAUGCCAGCUAGGAUCAUUCCUUCAGAAACAGAUCCACUUAGCCAAGGAAACGACAAGUUGCCCUUUAAGGCAAACUCUGACAGAUCACAGCUGAGAAAUUCUUCAGUUUCACACCCAAGCAUUAUACAUACAGAAUCAGAGAAUUUGCCAGAAACAGUUAAAGAAAACUGCCAGGAAGAAACUCCAGAAACAACUGCAAGUCCUGUAGAAUGCCAAGAUAAGCUCUACUUGCACUUAAAGGAAAAUUUCAGUAAAGUAAAGGCAUACGCUGUGGAAAUCGGAAAGAAGAUUCCAAUCCCUGAUCAGUGUACCAUUGAAGAAUCUGUUAGAAGUUGUGUAGCAAAGUUGUUCUUUACCUGCUCCUUGAAGGGUCAUUACUGCCUCUACAGUAAAUCCAGUUUUAUUCUCAUCAGCCAAGAGCCUCAGCCAUGGAUCCAGAUCAUGUUCCUCUUUCAGCAGAGCCUGUUUCCUGAGCCACUGUCUAUACAGAGUCAUUCUGUACAAUUCCUCAGAGAUCUGUGGGAGAAGACCCAGGCAGAUGGUGCUCACAGCUUUGAAACAGCCAUGAUGGAGUCCACAUUUCCACAGCAGAAGGAUCUGGACCAGGUACAGCUCCAUCUGGAAGAAGUGAGAUUCUUUGAUGUAUUUGGCUUCAGCGAAGCAGCAGGAGCAUGGCAAUGCUUCAUGUGCAACAACCCCGAGAAAGCGACCGUUGUAAACCAAGAUGGCCAGCCUCUCAUAGAAGGAAAACUUAAAGAGAAGCAAGUCAGAUGGAAGUUCAUCAAAAGGUGGAAAACUCGUUAUUUUACGCUGGCCGGAAAUCAACUUCUGUUUCAAAAAGGAAAGUCUCAACAAAAUGAAACCCAGCCUCAUCUACAUGUUGAUCUCUUCCUUUAUUGGAUAAAACAUUUAGUGGCUGCUUUGCAAGACUCGUGGACCUGUAGUCAUUUCUCCAGUGAUGGCUCUUCGGUUCCCUGAUGCCAUAUUUCAUCCCACCCUUCUAUUUCUUUGCCUCUCUAUGUACAUGAUAACUUUUUGUCUCAAAAUCAAAUGAUCUUAUUAUUUUCAAGACAUGCUAAAUAGCAAUUAACAUGUGUAGUGUCGACCAUGCACGUAACUCAAUUGAAGUAACAACACAGAGAACUGGGACCAAGUUUGAGUGACACCCAGUCAUAGUCAUUCCUGGUGGAUUACAACUGCAAAACACACUGAUUAUCAGGCACAUCCCAAUUUCAGAACUUAAAAUAUGGGAGAAAAAAUCUAAAUAAAUGAGCAAAAGUAUUAAUUUAAGAGUUCUACAUGCAUUUGUUUCACAGUUAUCAAAACUGUAUAUAAAAGUUUUUUUGUGAACAGUAAAGCAUAUUACAAAGGUAUUUUUUGUAUUUAAAAAUGGUUAUAAUUUGCCCAAUACAUCCAUUCUCAAAGGUAUGAGAUCAGCCAUUUCUGUGAAUAUUUACCUUCUGUAUUACUGGAGAUCUCCAGAGAAAAUAGAACAAAUAGGAUAUAUAGAGAAUGAUCUAUAAGAGGGGAUUUAUUAUAGGAAUUGCCUCACAUGGUUACAGAGGGCAAGAAGCCCACAAUCUGCCAUCUGCAAGCUGGAGACCCAGGAAAGACAGUGGUGUCAUUCUGUCCAAGUCAAAAGUCCUGGGAACCAGGGAGCCACUGGUUUUGGUCCUGGAGUCUGGAGGCCCAAGAACCAGGAGUUAUGAUGUCAAAGAGCAGAAGAAGAUGUACAUCCCAGCUCAAGAAGAGAGAAAGAAUCCUCCCUUCCUUUGCCAUCUUGUUCCAUUCAGGCCCCCAGUGAUGCCCACCCAAAUCAGAUUGGAGAGCAUGGAGGUGAAAUUAGGAUGGUGUGUAAGGAGGAAUUCCAGACCAAGAGGAGGAGCAUUUCCAGAAGAGGCUCUCAAGGUCAAUGAUACCAGAGACAAAAGGAGGGAGGAAAAGCAUCUGAUGACGUUGUAAGCUGGGGAACUAGAGAAGAGCAGAGGGAGGCACAAGGCAGAGCAGGUGGAACUGAUGAGGGCUUUAGGACCUUUAAAGGAAGACACUAAUUCCCAGGGCCGGCUUUUCUUAGGCACUUGCCCAGGUGAAGAGAGCUCUGGUCAAUGUCCUAUAUACCAGAUCAUGUAAGGCCCUCUAGCUGUGGACUUGGCAAAACAGGCAACCAGCUCCCCCAAAGGCCUUACAGAGCCUGGUCCUGCCACGAGACCCCAGCCUUGCAGGGCACGUUCCAUAUUGACAUUCUUCUCAUUCUAUACCCCCAACCCAGUACAUAUUGAACUUGUCUACUUCAAAGAAAAACUUUCUGAUGGUAUGGGGAGGGGGAGCUGGAAAUUCUGAAACCUUAUUAUGCAUUUUUCUGUAAGAAUAUAAUCAGACACAUUGUGUUUACACAGUUCCUUAUGCCUUUAUGGGCAAACCUUUUUAAAUUUUGAAUCCAAUAGAAAGAAAAUGCAUUUCCUCUGUCUUGCGAUCAAUGAAAUGAUUAAGAUUCACUUUGGUACUGAGAACCGAGAAGAGUUAAAAGAAGUCAAAUAAUGUAAAGAUAUAAAGUACUCAAACAAGUGA
Leopardus geoffroyi (Geoffroy's cat) is the source of this 4590-nucleotide RNA transcript. It is a transcript of the gene named ventricular zone expressed PH domain containing 1, with no coding region annotated. NCBI's taxonomy places the organism in Eukaryota, Metazoa, Chordata, Mammalia, Carnivora, Felidae. The record is from RefSeq and is a predicted model, not a curated record. The transcript is spliced from 16 exons.